RNAcentral lists this ribosomal RNA (425 nucleotides) under uncultured bacterium. RNAcentral describes it as "bacterial SSU rRNA". It matches the Rfam family "Bacterial small subunit ribosomal RNA", at positions 356 to 773 of the family's 1533-position model. The record is from RNAcentral.
AGGGAAUCUUCCGCAAUGGACGAAAGUCUGACGGAGCAACGCCGCGUGAGUGAUGAAGGUUUUCGGAUCGUAAAACUCUGUUGUUAGGGAAGAACAAGUUGGGUAGUAACUGACCCAACCUUGACGGUACCUAACCAGAAAGCCACGGCUAACUACGUGCCAGCAGCCGCGGUAAUACGUAGGUGGCAAGCGUUGUCCGGAAUUAUUGGGCGUAAAGCGCUCGCAGGCGGUCUUUUAAGUCUGAUGUGAAAGCCCACGGCUUAACCGUGGAGGGUCAUUGGAAACUGGAGGACUUGAGUACAGAAGAGGAGAGUGGAAUUCCACGUGUAGCGGUGAAAUGCGUAGAGAUGUGGAGGAACACCAGUGGCGAAGGCGACUCUCUGGUCUGUAACUGACGCUGAGGAGCGAAAGCGUGGGUAGCGAAC